RNAcentral lists this ribosomal RNA (415 nucleotides) under Acanthamoeba sp. RNAcentral describes it as "SSU rRNA". It matches the Rfam family "Eukaryotic small subunit ribosomal RNA", at positions 780 to 1096 of the family's 1831-position model. The record is from RNAcentral. Lineage: Eukaryota; Discosea; Longamoebia; Acanthamoebidae.
GCAGAUUCAUUUUCUGCCACCGAAUACAUUAGCAUGGGAUAAUGGAAUAGGACCCUGUCCUCCUAUUUUCAGUUGGUUUUGGCAGCGCGAGGACUAGGGUAAUGAUUAAUAGGGAUAGUUGGGGGCAUUAAUAUUUAAUUGUCAGAGGUGAAAUUCUUGGAUUUAUGAAAGAUUAACUUCUGCGAAAGCAUCUGCCAAGGAUGUUUUCAUUAAUCAAGAACGAAAGUUAGGGGAUCGAAGACGAUCAGAUACCGUCGUAGUCUUAACCAUAAACGAUGCCGACCAGCGAUUAGGAGACGUUGAAUACAAAACACCACCAUCGGCGCGGUCGUCCUUGGCGUUCGUGUUCACGCACGGGCGCGAGGGCGGUUUAGCCCGGUGGCACCGGUGAAUGACUCCUAGCAGCUUGUGAGAA